CCUACGGGAGGCAGCAGUGAGGAAUAUUGGUCAAUGGGCGCGAGCCUGAACCAGCCAAGUCGCGUGAGGGAAGACGGACCCAUGGAUUGUAAACCUCUUUUGUCGGGGAGCAAAAGACGCCACGCGUGGCGUUCCGAGAGUACACGAAGAAAAAGCAUCGGCUAACCCAGGGCCAGCAGCCGCGGUAAUACGGAGGAUGCGAGCGUUAUCCGGAUGUAUUGGGUUAAAAGGGUGCGCAGGCGGAAGAUCAAGUCAGCGGUAAAAUUGAGAGGCUCAACCUCUUCGAGCCGUUGAAACUGGUUUUCUUGAGUGAGCGAGAGGUAUGCGGAAUGCGUGGUGUAGCGGUGAAAUGCAUAGAUAUCACGCAGAACUCCGAUUGCGAAGGCAGCAUACCGGCGCUCAACUGACGCUCAUGCACGAAAGUGUGGGUAUCGAACAGGAUUAGAUACCCUUGUAGUC
This 459-nucleotide ribosomal RNA is filed under the name uncultured bacterium. Its description in RNAcentral is "partial 16S ribosomal RNA". It matches the Rfam family "Bacterial small subunit ribosomal RNA", at positions 338 to 795 of the family's 1533-position model. The record is from RNAcentral.